GGGGCUUCUGCCAGCUAUGGUGUAUAGUAAGUCACAUGGCAACAAAGCCAGCAUGCCAACAUCAGAUGAGGUUUGCCUUGCUUGGGGUGCAUCCCAACAGGGCAAAUAAAAGAAUUUGGAGGAGCAACGGUGGGCAUUGCAUAAUGAAUAACAAAGCUGCAUUAGUGAAGGUCUUUGUACAUUGAAUACACUUUGUAUCUUUUUAUGAUAUGAUCCAUGUUUAUAGGAGCAAUUUUACAGGCAGUUCUCAGAACUGGUGCACAGUAAGGUCAAAAAGCCAAACUGGCUGUUUCUGGUUCAGCUGCUCUGACAGGAAUGCAAAAUGUAAUACCAAUUCUCUUUAGUGAUUAACCA
Non-coding RNA from Pelobates cultripes (western spadefoot toad), 354 nucleotides. The record is from the annotation of a GenBank genome assembly. NCBI's taxonomy places the organism in Eukaryota, Metazoa, Chordata, Amphibia, Anura, Pelobatidae.